RNAcentral lists this ribosomal RNA (452 nucleotides) under uncultured archaeon. RNAcentral's name for it is "bacterial SSU rRNA". It matches the Rfam family "Archaeal small subunit ribosomal RNA", at positions 370 to 825 of the family's 1478-position model. The record is from RNAcentral.
ACGGGGUCACCCGAGUGCCAUCCGCUGAGGGUGGCUUUUGCCCGGUGUAAUGAGCCGGGUGAAUAAGGGGAGGGCAAGCCUGGUGUCAGCCGCCGCGGUAAUACCAGCUCCUCGAGUGGUUGGGACGAUUAUUGGGUUUAAAGCGUUCGUAGCCGGCCGGAAAAGUUCUCCGUUAAAUCCAACGAUUCAAUCGUUGGGCUGCGAGGAAUACUCUCCGGCUUGGGGGCGGGGGAUGCCGACGGUAGUCUCGGGGUAGGGGCGAAAUCCUAUAAUCCCGAGAGGACCACCAGUGGCGUAGGCGGUCGACUAAAACGCGCCCGACGGUGAGGGACGAAAGCUGGGGGAGCGAACGGGAUUAGAUACCCCGGUAGUCCCGGCUGUAAACGAUGCAGGCUAGGUGUUGGGACGGCUACGGGCCGUCUCAGUGCCGCAGGGUAACCAUUAAGCCUGCC